This is a long non-coding RNA of Cuculus canorus (common cuckoo), 1513 nucleotides long. RefSeq lists it as uncharacterized. The record is from RefSeq and is a predicted model, not a curated record. Lineage: Eukaryota; Metazoa; Chordata; Aves; Cuculiformes; Cuculidae. The transcript is spliced from 4 exons.
AAAUGCUGACAUUUGUGGUUGUGCAAGCCGUUCAGUGGAGAAACAAUAAAGAAUUACAUAGAAGGCUGAGCCUGUGUAAAAAGAGAUAUGUGUUUCCAGAGCUGCUAGUUCAGCUUAUCUUUUUGAAAGAAAAAACAAGCAAGAUGAUGACUUAUCAUUUCCUGCUGCUGUCACGAAGUAACUGAAAGCCUCCUCCAUAGUCUUUGCCUGAAGCACUUGGGUUCUGUGUUGAUGAGCCAAGAGACAGACAGACAGAAGGACAAAGACCUGGGUGCCACUCACAGCAAACAUCCUAUUGGUUACUAAGUCAUCUCAGGAGGUACCAUAGGGACUUAAGGAGCAUCAAAGCUGUGACCAGUUUGGGGAGCAAGGAGACCCCGAAGGGAAAACUGCCACUCAGAGAAAUGCUUCUGCAGCAAGGUGAUUAUUGGGGGCAUUCCUGACAUGGGAAUCUUUAUGCCAGGACAUUAUGCAAUGCCUGCAGUAUCAGAGGAAUGAACCUGAUGGUUGAAGACAUCCCUUUCCAGAUGCACAUUGCAAAAACAAACCAAAAAAGUCAUUAAUAUAGCAUGGUGUGAGUUAGAUGCACAUAUAUCGAGCACAUUUUUAACUGUGUAUUAGCUGGGUAUUUUUUAGAGCUUAUGACUAUUUUCAUGGAAGAUAUUUGGACUUUUGGUAAACUGAUCUUCUGAAUCAAGAAUAAGUUUCUGUGCUACAGCCUUAAUUUCGUGAUCACUGGUGCUCUUAAAAAGAAGUAAGAAAUUUGUCUUGUAUAAAAUCUCACUGAUCAGUGAAGAACUUGACUGAAGAAGAGAGUCUUAUUAGGCUAAAACGAGGUAGAAUUUGAUAUAAAAAUUGCUCAAGUGUGGAGAGAUACAGCAAGAAAAAUACUGAGAUCCUGGUUGGAAAAUAAGGUUUAUUCAUACAGACUGCUACAACUUUAUCUAGACAAACAAUGACUUCUUGACAUUGAUUAUAAGGUAUGAAUUUUCUUUUGGAUCAUAAUAAGACUGAGCAUAACAAAGAAUGUGACCAGCUUUUCUGUGAAAGCCUUACUGUGGGUGGCAACUUCAAUGAUCACAGAAGACCUGAAAUGCAGAUAAUGUGUGUUCCUGUGGCCCUGGCAGUCUGGACACAGAGAGUGGAGAGCACAUCACGGAAGCCAACACAGAUUCACUCCAGAAUAAACCUACCUGUGCUUUGGAUGCCUGGUAUCGUUGAGCCAUACCCACCUGCCUUGCUCUUCAUCAAAGCUUAAUCCAGUCCAAACAAAGCCAAUGUCUUUAUCCUUCAGUUUGUUUAGGAAAUCCUGGAAAGAGGUAUAUUUUGAACUCCCAUAAUACUUCAUAAGACUCCAGCACCAGUGAUGUAUAGUGAACUGGUACACUCCUGCCACGCCACUUCCUAGUAAAACCACUGCCGCUGUUUGCUCACUCACUCUAUGUCAGGAUUUCUACAUAUCUUGAAUCAACAACUAUGUAGGAUGGAAGGAAUUUCGAAGCCAUCUAGUUCA